RNAcentral lists this ribosomal RNA (373 nucleotides) under Jasus edwardsii (red rock lobster). Its description in RNAcentral is "partial 12S ribosomal RNA". Lineage: Eukaryota; Metazoa; Arthropoda; Malacostraca; Decapoda; Palinuridae. The record is from RNAcentral.
CCAUACAACACCCAUUGUUUAAAUUGUGCAAACUGGGAGAAAUAAAAUUAAUAGUCUCAAAAUUCAAAGAAUUUGGCGGUGCUUUAGCCUAUUUAGAGGAACCUGUUUUAUAAACGACACUCCACGUAGGAUCUUUCUUAAUCUUUUGUUUAGCUAGUGUACCUUCAUUAUUGGAUAAUUUAAUUAUAAAAGUUAUUGAAAAAGAACUAAUGGUUCUAGUACAUUAGAUCACGAUGCUGCUAAUAAGUAAGUAAAAUUGGGUCACAAUAAGAUUUAUUUAUUGUGGGAGUCUCAGUAAGAAUGCCUGAAUGAAGAUGGAUUUAAUGGUAAUAAAUUAUUUAAUACGAUUUUUGACAUAAGCACUAAAGUGUGU